Molecule: long non-coding RNA, 402 nt
Filed under: Sinocyclocheilus grahami
Lineage: Eukaryota; Metazoa; Chordata; Actinopteri; Cypriniformes; Cyprinidae
Description: lncRNA (ENSSGRG00000039223.1)
Source: RNAcentral
AAGUAUGUAACAAGCCACUAAUAAUGCUAUUGACAUCUUUCCUGCACAGGGUGUAGGUCUAUCCGUGGAAGGUUCCAGCAUUUGAGAGGCUGCUAUGGAGGGCCUGUUGGUUACAUCAUUGUAGACUUCUGGGAAAUGGAGGAAAGGCUGGAAGUGCCAGACACUGGAGAGAUGAUUCACUGGAGUGUCUUUGGGAUCUCUUUUUGGGGAGAGCAGAUUGGGCAGAAAGUGAAGAAGAUCUGUGAUUGGUGCAUUUAUAGCUUAAUUAAAUAUUCCACGCACAUACGUACCUUCGUGUAUCCAGAGGGUUUGGAAUAGAGAGAAGGAAUACUUCAGGGGCUGGAAAGCAGGAUAGUGGACAUCAAAAUGGUGCUGUCUCAGACGGAGCAGUAUAUGCAGCAG